GACGAACGCUGGCGGCGUGCUUAACACAUGCAAGUCGAACGGAAAGGCCCUGCUUUUGUGGGGUGCUCGAGUGGCGAACGGGUGAGUAAAACGUGAGUAACCUGCCCUUGACUUUGGGAUAACUUCAGGAAACUGGGGCUAAUACCGGAUAGGAGCUCCUGCUGCAUGGUGGGGGUUGGAAAGUUUCGGCGGUUGGGGAUGGACUCGCGGCUUAUCAGCUUGUUGGUGGGGUAGUGGCUUACCAAGGCUUUGACGGGUAGCCGGCCUGAGAGGGUGACCGGCCACAUUGGUACUGCGAUACGGCCCAGACUCCUACGGGAGGCAGCAGUGGGGAAUAUUGCACAAUGGGCGGAAGCCUGAUGCAGCAACGCCGCGUGCGGGAUGACGGCCUUCGGGUUGUAAACCGCUUUCGCCUGUGACGAAGCGUGAGUGACGGUAAUGGGUAAAGAAGCACCGGCUAACUACGUG
RNAcentral lists this ribosomal RNA (468 nucleotides) under uncultured bacterium. RNAcentral's name for it is "partial 16S ribosomal RNA". It matches the Rfam family "Bacterial small subunit ribosomal RNA", at positions 28 to 507 of the family's 1533-position model. The record is from RNAcentral.